Long non-coding RNA from Zea mays, 1180 nucleotides. RefSeq lists it as uncharacterized. The record is from RefSeq and is a predicted model, not a curated record. Lineage: Eukaryota; Viridiplantae; Streptophyta; Magnoliopsida; Poales; Poaceae. The transcript is spliced from 7 exons.
CUUGAUGGCUUGCCAGCGAUGGUACAGGUCGUCCUCUCCAACGAGCCCACUGUGCAGCUCAAGGCCACCACACAGUUUAGGAAGCUGCUCUCCAUAGGCGAGGUUAUUGACCUUCAGGCAUAUGUUGUUAAGGGAGUUGGAAAGGUUCAAGCAAAGUGGUCUCCAGUUGGUACAAUUGAUAUAGAAUGCUCCAUGAGAGGUGAAAAUUAGUUUUCCACGUGCAGCUCUACACAUACCUCUUCCAAAGAUAUCUCUACUCUAGCAGCGGGUAGCGAAGAGGGGCUCAUGUGUCUGCAUGUUCAGGGGAGUCGAUGGUGAGGUUCGCAAUGACGUCCUUCUAGGGCAGACCGUGGCUUCACCUUCCUACACUAACCUCACUGUGGCAUAUCACAGGACAAAUAUCUUGGUACGCUAUUGUAGGUGGUCAAGGAAUCCAAAUGGAGGCAAUCUAGAAUCUCUCAGAUAUAAGCAAGGUUACAGAUUUGAUGUGGAUAUUCCUGACCAAACAUGGGUAACUAUAUAGAACCAUGCCUCUUCUAUCUGAGCAUUCAAUAGACACUGCAACAAAAAGGACUUGUCUGUUUUCUUUGCAACAUCAGCUGGUCUGCUUCUCUUUGGUUGGGUCUUGUUUGUCAGGAACAUUUCAUUUUCGCAAUGUGUGAGGAAUAAACACAUUUUCAGAGGUUCAGGAGUUUUGUUACAUAAUUGAAAUUGUUAGGAGCACACAUUUUAGAACUAAAUUUUUGAGUUGCACACACAUUUCUUUUGUUUCAGAACUGAAUUUUGGAGGUGCACACACAUUUAUUUUAUUUCAGAAUUGAAUUUCUUUUGUUUUAGAACUGAAUUUUUAGUGAAGAGCACACAUAUUUAAUAGUUCCGGAGCACGACAUUUCAGAACUAAUACAAAACUGAAUUUAUUACAGAGCACACACAUUUCACUUUUUGGUUGCUUGCUAGAAUUUACUCUAUGGAGAGGUGCCAUUGCAUACGGCAAAAGUUGAGAGCAGCUUGUGAACGGAAUUUACAGAAAUGUUUUUUUGAGGCUGGUAGAUUGUCAUUCAAGAGCUAGGAAAACUUCCAAAACAACUCAUUUUGACAAGAAUGCCGACCAUUGCUGCAAUUACUUCACCCUUGGCUCCCGCACUAACUUUGACGGCCGACUGCAGAUCUUCUUCGACAU